AGCUCCACGUCGACAUUCUUCCAGCUGCAUAUAGUGAACUGCACAGGACUGGGGAAGAAAAGGUAAAAGCGGCGGUAGACACCUUACGAUUAGAGCGCUGCAUGUCCGCAGACGGACAUCAACCGCAGAGAAAACUGGCGUUUGCACUGUGAAUGUGUCCAUGGACUGCACCGUCCACAGAUCGCUUUCUGCUUUUGCAUUUUAGGAUCCAGACUAUUUACCCCUCGUGUUGGAUUGCAGCUGGUCCCUUGCGUCUACCUACAGUAUAUCAGAUGACAGGAGCACCCAGUCGUGAGGUGGAUAAGGUCCUGCACAAACCUAUGAGGUGGCACUGUGGCUGUCCAAAUGAAGUUCUGUGAUACACUUAGACUCUAAAUGUUUGCAGUCAGUGCAUUACAGAACUUUGUUUUGGGAGUCUAUACUUUGACAGUACUUUGGAAAAAUGUAUCCUCAUACAUCUGGACCUUUUAAACAAUAUGAUGUCAUAUUUCUGUUUACAAAUGCCUGUUUUGUCAAAUAAAGUUUCUUUGUGUUUUAA
Molecule: long non-coding RNA, 538 nt
Organism: Sphaeramia orbicularis (orbiculate cardinalfish)
Lineage: Eukaryota; Metazoa; Chordata; Actinopteri; Kurtiformes; Apogonidae
Exons: 2
Source: RefSeq, a predicted model, not a curated record